Molecule: ribosomal RNA, 482 nt
Filed under: uncultured bacterium
Lineage: Bacteria
Description: partial 16S ribosomal RNA
Rfam family: Bacterial small subunit ribosomal RNA
Source: RNAcentral
AUUGAACGCUGGCGGCAUGCCUUACACAUGCAAGUCGAACGGUAACGGGCCUUCGGGCGCCGACGAGUGGCGAACGGGUGAGUAAUACAUCGGAACGUGCCCGAUCGUGGGGGAUAACGAGGCGAAAGCUUUGCUAAUACCGCAUACGAUCUACGGAUGAAAGCAGGGGACGGCAAGGCCUUGCGCGGGCGGAGCGGCCGAUGGCAGAUUAGGUAGUUGGUGGGAUAAAAGCUUACCAAGCCGACGAUCUGUAGCUGGUCUGAGAGGAUGAUCAGCCACACUGGGACUGAGACACGGCCCAGACUCCUACGGGAGGCAGCAGUGGGGAAUUUUGGACAAUGGGCGCAAGCCUGAUCCAGCCAUGCCGCGUGCAGGAUGAAGGCCUUCGGGUUGUAAACUGCUUUUGUACGGAACGAAAAGCCUUCUUUUAAUACAGGAGGGUCAUGACGGUACCGUAAGAAUAAGCACCGGCUAACUACGUG